RNAcentral lists this ribosomal RNA (253 nucleotides) under uncultured bacterium. RNAcentral's name for it is "partial 16S ribosomal RNA". It matches the Rfam family "Bacterial small subunit ribosomal RNA", at positions 524 to 776 of the family's 1533-position model. The record is from RNAcentral.
UACGUAGGGGGCAAGCGUUGUCCGGAAUCAUUGGGCGUAAAGCGCGCGUAGGCGGCCCGGUAAGUCCGCUGUGAAAGUCCAGGGCUCAACCCUGGAAAGCCGGUGGAUACUGCCGGGCUAGAGUCCGGAAGAGGAGAAUGGAAUUCCUGGUGUAGCGGUGAAAUGCGCAGAUAUCAGGAAGAACACCCGUGGCGAAGGCGGCUCUCUGGGACGGUACUGACGCUGAGACGCGAAAGCCAGGGGAGCAAACGGG